Molecule: non-coding RNA, 269 nt
Organism: Dermacentor albipictus
Lineage: Eukaryota; Metazoa; Arthropoda; Arachnida; Ixodida; Ixodidae
Source: RefSeq, a predicted model, not a curated record
GUGGCAGCAAACUGCCUGCUUCUCCGUUAUAUGAGCAAAGAAAACUCAGGAGAAUCACUUGAUGAACACAGUCCCAGUGAAGUGGCACCAGAAGCUUCAGACACUCCACUGGUCCCAGACAUUGAAGACAUCCACAGUGAGACCUGUCAAAGACUCAUACAAGAGAGGUUUGAUGCUAUACAGGCCCUCUCGGUGGACAGCAGAGCAGUUGUUCUCGAGUCGACGAUUGGACAGGCCGCAAAUCCAACCUGGCACAUGGAGCGGAUUGG